GCCGAUGUAGCUCAGGGGUAGAGCAACUGAUUCGUAAUCAGUAGGUCGUCGGUUCGAAUCCGACCCUCGGCUCCA
This 75-nucleotide transfer RNA is filed under the name Deinococcus multiflagellatus. Its description in RNAcentral is "tRNA-Thr". It matches the Rfam family "tRNA". From Rfam's summary of the family: Transfer RNA (tRNA) molecules are approximately 80 nucleotides in length. Lineage: Bacteria; Thermotogati; Deinococcota; Deinococci; Deinococcales; Deinococcaceae. RNAcentral also lists the same sequence under 1 other name. The record is from RNAcentral.